This 496-nucleotide ribosomal RNA is filed under the name uncultured bacterium. RNAcentral describes it as "partial 16S ribosomal RNA". It matches the Rfam family "Bacterial small subunit ribosomal RNA", at positions 29 to 507 of the family's 1533-position model. The record is from RNAcentral.
AUGCACGCUGGCGGCGUGCCUAAUACAUGCAAGUCGAGCGCACAGAUGAGGAGCUUGCUCCUCUGACGUUAGCGGCGGACGGGUGAGUAACACGUGGAUAACCUACCUAUAAGACUGGGAUAACUUCGGGAAACCGGAGCUAAUACCGGAUAAUAUAUUGAACCGCAUGGUUCAAUAGUGAAAGACGGUUUUGCUGUCACUUAUAGAUGGAUCCGCGCCGCAUUAGCUAGUUGGUAAGGUAACGGCUUACCAAGGCGACGAUGCGUAGCCGACCUGAGAGGGUGAUCGGCCACACUGGAACUGAGACACGGUCCAGACUCCUACGGGAGGCAGCAGUAGGGAAUCUUCCGCAAUGGGCGAAAGCCUGACGGAGCAACGCCGCGUGAGUGAUGAAGGUCUUCGGAUCGUAAAACUCUGUUAUUAGGGAAGAACAAAUGUGUAAGUAACUAUGCACGUCUUGACGGUACCUAAUCAGAAAGCCACGGCUAACUACGUG